CACGUAGUUAGCCGUGGCUUUCUGGUUAGGUACCGUCAAGGUGCCGCCCUAUUCGAACGGUACUUGUUCUUCCCUAACAACAGAGUUUUACGAUCCGAAAACCUUCAUCACUCACGCGGCGUUGCUCCGUCAGACUUUCGUCCAUUGCGGAAGAUUCCCUACUGCUGCCUCCCGUAGGAGUCUGGGCCGUGUCUCAGUCCCAGUGUGGCCGAUCACCCUCUCAGGUCGGCUACGCAUCGUCGCCUUGGUGAGCCAUUACCUCACCAACUAGCUAAUGCGCCGCGGGUCCAUCUGUAAGUGGUAGCUAAAAGCCACCUUUUAUGAUUGGAACCAUGCGGUUCAAUCAAGCAUCCGGUAUUAGCCCCGGUUUCCCGGAGUUAUCCCAGUCUUACAGGCAGGUUACCCACGUGUUACUCACCCGUCCGCCGCUGACCUAAGGGAGCAAGCUCCCGUCGGUCCGCUCGACUUGCAUGUAUUAGGCACGCCGCCAGCGUUCGUCCUGAGCCAGGAUCAAACUCU
Molecule: ribosomal RNA, 519 nt
Filed under: uncultured Bacillus sp.
Lineage: Bacteria; Bacillati; Bacillota; Bacilli; Caryophanales; Bacillaceae
Description: partial 16S ribosomal RNA
Source: RNAcentral